Molecule: long non-coding RNA, 3114 nt
Organism: Cyprinus carpio (common carp)
Lineage: Eukaryota; Metazoa; Chordata; Actinopteri; Cypriniformes; Cyprinidae
Source: Ensembl
AUGCCUAGUCUGAGGAGUACAGAGAGGAAACUUCAGAGAGACCCCGAGAAAGCUGCUAUCUACUCUGGUGAGAUUAAUAAGCUCAUUAAGGCAGGCUAUGUUUCUAAGCUUCAACCCGAAGAAGUUAACAAAUCAGAGGAGGCCUGGUACAUUCCCCAUCACCUGGUGUGUCACAAUGAUAAACCAAGAUUGGUCUUCAAUUGCUCAUUCAGAUAUCAAGGUCUGUCUCUGAAUGAUCAGCUUCUUCCAGGGCCUGCACUUGGCCCAUCAUUGUUGGGCGUUCUCUUGAGAUUCCGUCAGCACCAUGUGGCUGUAAGUGCAGAUAUCCGUGGAAUGUUCCAUCAGAUCCGCUUGCUGCCUGAGGACAGACCUCUUCUCCGCUUCAUCUGGCGAGAUCUGCACUAUCAGAACAGUCCAGAGGUCUAUGAAUGGGAAGUCUUGCCGUUUGGUACAACCAGCAGCCCAUGUUGUGCCAUUUUUGCUGUGCAACAACAUGCUCGCAAUAACCAAGAGAGUUACCCAGGUGCUUUACAAGUAGUGCAGCGGAGUUUUUAUGUGGACAACUAUCUGGCAAGCUUUCCAACCAUAUCUGAGGCCAAACUAACAGUUGAUCAACUGCGCAGUCUGCUAGCUAUGGGUGGGUUUGACCUCAGACAAUGGGCUAGCAACCAGCCAUCAGUGAUCUCUCACCUACCUACAGAUGCAAGGUCUUCAGCUGCAGAACAAUGGCUUGAACAGAACAGGACUGAUCCAAUGGAGCCAACUUUGGGUCUCAGGUGGAAUUGUGCUGCUGAUACACUAGGAUACCAAUAUCGUCCCAUCGAACAUGCCACACUAACAAUGAGAACAGCCUAUCAAGUGUUAGCAACACAGUAUGACCCAUUGGGGUUUAUUGUGCCUUUCACCACACGGGCAAAAGUGCUCAUUCAACAACUAUGGUCCAAAAAAAGAGAUUGGGAUGACCCGAAUCUGCCACAAGAUCUUUAUGCUGCCUGGGACACAUGGGAAAGUGAGUUAAAGUAUCUCAGCACCAUAACAAUUCCUCGUUGUUACUCAUCAGUUCCCAAUGAUGUACGACGAAAAUACGACCUCCAUGUGUUUUGCGACGCAUCAGAAAGAGCAUAUGGGGCUGUGGCUUACUUGGUAGAGUACACACAAGAUGCCAUUCAUACCACUUUCGUUAUGGCUAGAUCACGAGUUGCUCCCAGGAGGCAACAGUCCAUGCCUCGCUUGGAGCUCUGCGCAGCACUAGCAGGAGCCCAGUUAGCAAAGCUUCUGAAAGAUGAGAUCACUCUCUCAAUUCAGCAGACAAUUUUGUGGACAGAUUCUACAACUGUGCUGGAGUGGCUUCAGUCCGACUCUUGUAGGUUUAAAGUCUUUGUUGGAACACGAGUCUCAGAAAUCCAGGAGUUGACAGAACACAGUACUUGGCGGUACGUGAACACACAGCAAAACCCAGCGGAUGAUAUCACCAGAGGUAAACCUCUUUCAAGUUUUACUGUGCCUGGACUCUGGAGUCAGGGACCGUCGUUUCUAAAACUGAGUUCUGAGCACUGGCCAAAGAGACCUGAACCGGCAAGGUCAGAAGAGUUACCUGAACUGAAAGGUGCCACUAUCUGCGGCCUAACCAUUGUGGAACCAGAUCAUACCCUUCCUGAUGCCAGUCAGUUUAGCACAUGGAAAGAGUUAGUGGAAGCAAUGCGUCAGGUAUGGCAACAAGUGACAGAUGAUUCAGCAAACACUCAGCUUAUUGAUCCUCGUGAAGCAGAGUUGAUCCUACUAAGGAAGUGUCAGGCUCAGAGCUUCCCAGAGGAGACAAAAGCCCUCAAAGCACACAAACCUAUACCAAACCACAGCCGACUAAUAUGUCUUGCUCCAGAGUGGGAUCCAGUAACUAAUGUAAUCAGAGUUGGAGGACGUUUACGGAGACUGGAAAGCCCAAAUGUUGAACAGAUUCACCCUAUUGUGCUAGAUUCACGGCAUCCAGCAUCAAAGCUUCUCAUUAAAGAUUUUGACGAACGCUUAUUGCACCCAGGUGCAGAAAGAGUGUAUGCAGAACUACGGAGACAAUACUGGAUCUUGAGAGGGCGGCAAGCUGUUAGACACCACCAGCUUAAUUGUUCAUCCUGUCAAAGGUGGAGAUCUCAGCCUAAGGUACCACAAAUGGCAGACCUGCCGCCAGAGCGGCUCAGACUUCUCUGUCCACCGUUCUAUUCUACUGGAGUAGACUGCUUCGGUCCUUAUCAUGUUAAAAUAGGCAGAAGGGUUGAGAAACGUUGGGGCGUCAUUUUCAAAUGCCUCACCACUAGAGCUGUUCACAUAGAGCUUCUCAACUCCUUGGAUGUGGAUGCCUUCCUGCUGGCUCUUCGAAGAUUCAUAGCCAGACGUGGCAGACCAAAGGAGAUCAGGUCAGAUUGUGGUACAAACUUUCGUGGUGCCGAUCGAGAACUGCGUGAAGCCUUUACUGCUAUGGAAUCCCAAUUAAAAGAGCAGCUAGCUGAUUAUCAGAUCUCCUUCAAAUUCAAUCCGCCUAAUGCUCCUCAUUUUGGUGGUGUUUGGGAGCGAGAGGUCCGCUCCAUCAAAGCUGCUCUACAGGUCGCAGUUGGAAGUCAGUCUGUCUCAGAAGAUGUCCUGUCUACAGUAUUAGUAGAGGUAGAGGGCAUUUUAAAUGCAAAGCCCCUUGGAUACGUCUCCACAGAUGUUGCAGAUCUAGACGCCAUUACACCAAACAUUCUCCUCAUGGGGCGGCGGGAUGCAUCACUUCCACAGGUAGCAUAUGCUUCAGGAGAAAUGGGGCGGCGCAGAUGGCGCCAUUGUCAAAAUCUUGUGGACCAGUUUUGGACUCAAUUUACAAGGAAUUACUUACCCACACUACAGACACGCCAGACGUGGCACAGAACAUCAGACUCUCUGUCAGUGGGAUCAGUGGUUUUGAUAAUUGAUCCACAACUUCCCAGGGCUCAGUGGCCCAUUGGUAAAGUUACCAAGACUGUGGUCAGCAAUGAUGGAUGUGUGAGAACAGCAGACGUCAGUGUUCAAGGCAAAGUGUAUACCAGGCCAGUAGCUCGCCUCAUUAGAUUGCCAGCCUUUGAGGAUGAAACCAAAGACUCCUAA